CUCCAGGAUAAGUGCUUUAACUCUCUUUGAAGAUGCCAAGAGAAGAUGGUCUUCUGGGAGAAUGUGAGUUAUAAUGCCAAUAGCACGUUCAGCAUGGAAUAGUGCAUUGUCAAAUUUUCCAGAGCUGUACUGGUGAACAUAAGAAGAGUAAGCCAAAUCUUCGUGAGCUGUAGCUACAUGUAUGUUUUUACCUCCAAAUACUGACUGUCGAAUAUCAAGAGCUGUCUGAUAUAUGGCAACAGAUUGGCAUAUAUUGUCUACGUUGAGCAAAUAAAAUCCAUAGUCUAGUAGUGUAUCAGAAUAUUUGGGGUGCUUGGCUCCAAAAUGCUCCCGGGCAAGAUACACUGCGUGUUUUAUCAGCUGUUCAGCCUUCUUAAACUCACGUUUUACAACACAAGCCUUAGAAGCUUGUCUCAAAACAUCCACUACUACUUUUACAGGCAGGCCAACUGUGAUCUCCUUCAUAGCUUCUAUACACCACUUGUAAGCCUCAUCAUAGUGGCUCUUGGCAAAAAGCAGUGCACACAGUUCC
Molecule: long non-coding RNA, 532 nt
Filed under: Gallus gallus (chicken)
Lineage: Eukaryota; Metazoa; Chordata; Aves; Galliformes; Phasianidae
Source: RNAcentral